UAUCGGAAUAGUGCAAAACUGUU
Molecule: non-coding RNA, 23 nt
Filed under: Arabidopsis thaliana (thale cress)
Lineage: Eukaryota; Viridiplantae; Streptophyta; Magnoliopsida; Brassicales; Brassicaceae
Source: RNAcentral